CUCUCGAUCUUAGAUUAUCGUGAGAAGGAAUCAAAACGCUGUUUUAGCUAGUCGCAAGUGAAGACUCUACGUUGGGAGAGAAGCAGAAUUGUUUUUCGAGAAGUGUUUGUAUGGAUGUGUUCUAUUACUGAGAAUGUGAGGUGGUUAGCGGUGGUCGUUGGAGGUGGUCGGAGGUGGUAAGGGGUGGUUACAGGUGAUCGAGGUGGACGAGGAGAACUAGGUGGACGAGGAGGACGAGCAUUUCUGCGCGAUAUAACUCGUGGUGGUUUGCGGUGGCUGUUGGGGGUGGUUGGCGGUGGUCGGAGAUGGCCGAGGAGGAGGACGAGGAAGACGAGGAUUUAUGCUCGGUAUAACCCGAGGUGGUCAGCAGUGGU
Molecule: long non-coding RNA, 374 nt
Filed under: Neodiprion pinetum (white pine sawfly)
Lineage: Eukaryota; Metazoa; Arthropoda; Insecta; Hymenoptera; Diprionidae
Description: uncharacterized LOC124212487
Source: RNAcentral